AUUUAGUAUGGUCACGUGCCAAGUUGUUUCAACUAAUGAAUAUUGAAUUGCACGUCUUAAGUGAUGGCCAGAACUUGGUAUAUCAAUGUCAAUUCAUAAAAAUGAUGUAGAGGCAGUGGCAGAUUGUCGAAGGAGAGUAAUCUUACUUCAGGCUUCUUUGAGCUGUAUUGAAGUGUGUGGAUUAGACAAAUCUCCUUUACGGGAAUCAUGAAAGAGUUUUCCUCUCACACAGUCACGACUAGGAGAGCAUUCUGAUGUAGAAUCAGGCGAUAAUUCUGAUACAGGGUAAACAAAACAAUCUAAUAAAAAAACACGACAGUGUGCAAAUCCAGAGAAAGGGCCAAGUAAUUUUAAUUCUAAAUACCAUUUGCAAAGAAAAUAAGUAAGGACAUAAUUCUUGCUUUGAAACUGUACAAAAAGUCUGCAAAGGUAUCAAAUGCAUACAUUUUUAUUCUGUUUAUUGAAAACACCUGGCUUUAUAGUUUUUUUUAUCUUUUAUGGAAGUUUUAAUGUUAAUGGAUUCAUCAUGAUCAUAAAAUGAGUAAAUGUGAUUUUUAAAAAUCACUCAUACACAGAAACUAUUUAAAGAUUUCGUCAAAUGUAACUUUAUUAAUGAUUGAUUAGAUAGCAAAGUAACUAUUAA
Molecule: long non-coding RNA, 643 nt
Organism: Ctenocephalides felis (cat flea)
Lineage: Eukaryota; Metazoa; Arthropoda; Insecta; Siphonaptera; Pulicidae
Exons: 3
Source: RefSeq, a predicted model, not a curated record